This 424-nucleotide ribosomal RNA is filed under the name uncultured bacterium. Its description in RNAcentral is "bacterial SSU rRNA". It matches the Rfam family "Bacterial small subunit ribosomal RNA", at positions 355 to 772 of the family's 1533-position model. The record is from RNAcentral.
UCGAGAAUUUUUCUCAAUGGGGGAAACCCUGAAGGAGCGACGCCGCGUGGGGGAUGAAGGGCUUCGGCCCGUAAACCCCUGUCAUUUGCGAACAAAUGUCAUGGUUGAACAUUCCAUGGCUUGAUUGUAGCGAAAGAGGAAGGGACGGCUAACUCUGUGCCAGCAGCCGCGGUAAUACAGAGGUCCCAAGCGUUGUUCGGAUUCACUGGGCGUAAAGGGUGCGUAGGCGGUUGAGUAAGUCUGACGUGAAAUCUCCGAGCCUAACUCGGAAACUGCGUUGGAUACUAUUCAGCUAGAGGAAUGGAGGGGAGACUGGAAUACUUGGUGUAGCAGUGAAAUGCGUAGAUAUCAAGUGGAACACCAGUGGCGAAGGCGAGUCUCUGGACAUUUCCCGACGCUGAGGCACGAAAGCCAGGGGAGCAAA